RNAcentral lists this ribosomal RNA (1653 nucleotides) under human gut metagenome. Its description in RNAcentral is "bacterial LSU rRNA". It matches the Rfam family "Bacterial large subunit ribosomal RNA", at positions 813 to 2518 of the family's 2925-position model. The record is from RNAcentral.
GGAUAGCGGAGAAAUUCCAAUCGAACUCGGAGAUAGCUGGUUCUCCUCGAAAUAGUUUUAGGACUAGCCUUGUUUAGUAGUAUGUGGGGGUAGAGCACUGAAUGAGCUAGGGGCCAAACCAGGUUACUGAACUCUAUCAAACUCCGAAUACCAUGUACGUAAGAACAGGAGUCAGACUGCGGGAGCUAAGUUCCGUGGUCAAAAGGGAAAGAGCCCAGAUCGUCAAUUAAGGUCCCAAAGAUAUAGUUAAGUGGAAAACGAUGUGAUUUUGCGUAAACAACCAGGAUGUUGGCUUAGAAGCAGCCAUUCAUUUAAAGAGUGCGUAAUAGCUCACUGGUCGAGUGGAGUUGCGCGGAAAAUUACCGGGGCUAAACUAUACACCGAAAUUGCGGAUUCAUGAGUAAUCAUGAGUGGUAGAGGAGCAUUCUAUAGUAGGACGAAGGUAGAUCGAAAGGACUGCUGGACGAGAUAGAAGAGAGAAUGCCGGAAUAAGUAGCGAAAGCAUGGUGAGAAUCCAUGCCAUCGAAAGUCUAAGGUUUCCUGGGGAAGGUUCGUCCGCCCAGGGUAAGUCGGGACCUAAGGAGAGGCCGAAAGGCGUAUCUGAUGGACAGCAGGUAGAAAUUCCUGCACCACCGAUAUACUUAAAAAAUGCAAGGGACACAGUAGUGGAAGGAAAGCGAGGAAGAGGAAAGACUCGUAUCGAAAGAUAUAGUGAAAAAAUAAGUAACGAAUUUCCAAGAAGCACACUGGCGAGAAAAGCUUGUAGGAAUUGUAUAAAGGUGCCCGUACCGCAAACCGACACAGGUAGAUGAGGAGAGGAUCCUAAGAUGAGCGAGAGAAGCAUUGUUAAGGAACUCGGCAAAUUGACCCCGUAACUUAGGGAGAAGGGGUGCCAAAGUAAAAUUUGGUCGCAGAGAAGAGGCCCAAGCAACUGUUUAACAAAAACACAGGUUUCUGCUAAAUCGAAAGAUGAAGUAUAGGAGCUGACGCCUGCCCAGUGCUGGAAGGUUAAGGGGAAGAGUUAGAUGUAAGUCGAAGCUUAGAACCAAAGCCCCAGUGAACGGCGGCCGUAACUAUAACGGUCCUAAGGUAGCGAAAUUCCUUGUCAGGUAAGUUCUGACCCGCACGAAAGGCGUAAUGAUUUGGGCGCUGUCUCGACAAUGUACUCGGCGAAAUUGUAGUACUAGUGAAGAUGCUAGUUACCUGCGACAAGACAGAAAGACCCCAUGGAGCUUUACUGUAGCUUGAUACUGGGUUUCGAUAAUUUAUGUACAGGAUAGGUGGGAGGCGAAGAAGCAAUUGCGCCAGCAGUUGUGGAGUCAUCCUUGGGAUACCACCCUUAAGUUAUUGAAAUUCUAACCUGUAGUCCUGAGCGGGCUAGGGGACAAUGUCAGGCGGGCAGUUUGACUGGGGCGGUCGCCUCCAAAAGAGUAACGGAGGCGCGCAAAGGUUUCCUCAGCGCGGACAGAAAUCGCGCGAAAGAGUGCAAAGGCAGAAGGAAGCUUAACUGAGAGACUGACAAGUCGACCAGAUACGAAAGUAGGUCUUAGUGAUCCGGCGGUAGUGAGUGGAAAUGCCGUCGCUCAACGGACAAAAGUUACCCUGGGGAUAACAGGCUUAUCUCCCCCAAGAGUUCACAUCGACGGGGAGGUU